Molecule: RNA transcript, 1342 nt
Organism: Nycticebus coucang (slow loris)
Lineage: Eukaryota; Metazoa; Chordata; Mammalia; Primates; Lorisidae
Gene name: nudC domain-containing protein 2-like
Exons: 1
Source: RefSeq, a predicted model, not a curated record
UUUGCUAAGCGGUAUUUUUAAUACUUUUUAAAGGUAGGAGUAAAACUAACUUUAAUGUAUAUUUGAGGGUCUGUUCUAAAGCUUCUAGAUUUGCCUAAAGAAUUUCCUGCUAACUUGUACUUGACACCUUCCUAGUUUUUCUUGGCAGCCAUUUUUUAUCUGUGAUAUCUCCUGCCACAGCAGCCAGAGGGCAGUAAACCACAAUGGACUAAUUGAGCUGUUUACCUUAAGGUUCAUUUAUCUAUUCAACUCAGACUUUUCUGUUGUUAUUUUUUAGGGUAUUUGAAUUAUCAAUAUAAGAGCCCAUUCUGGGUGAGACUGCUUUCCUUAGCAAGAUCUCAUAACUUAACAUUCAUCUCAAAACUAUCUUAUGUAGUUAGUAGUUAACACAGGUAAAAUUAAGAGUUUUAGAACAUCUGGAUUCUAUGUAUCAGAAUUUGCAAAAUAAGGUAUCUCCUAGAAGAUACUUAUAAUAUUUUUGUUUGUUUAUGUAAAUAUUAAAACAUAUAUUUUUGAGCUCACUCGGUGCGCUGCUGCCGGGAAGUGGCUAUACUAUGUCGGGCCCUUUUGAAGAGCGCAGUGGGGUGGUUCCAUGCGGUACCCCGUGGGGCCAGUGGUACCAGACGUUGGAGGAGGUGUUCAUUGAAGUUCAGGCGCUGCCAGGCAGUUGCGCCCAGGAUAUCCAGUGUGGUCUGCAGAGCAGGCAUGUGGCGCUGGCCGUGGGUGGCUGCGAGAUCCUCAAGGGCAAACUUUUGAUUCUACAAUAGCUGAUGAGGGAACAUGAACUUGGGAAUCUGAAUAUGCAGCUGAUCCUUGGGUACAAGACCAAAUGCAGAGAAAGCUUACAUUAGAGAGAUUCCAGAAAGAAAAUCCUGGUUUUGACUUAAGUGGAGCAGAAAUCUCAGGAAACUACACUAAAGGUGGACCAGAUUUCUCAAACCUUGAAAAAUAACCAGUGUUUUUUUGCCGCAUUCAGUGGAUUUUAGCAGAUAUUGCCAACUUAAUCAUAGGAACAGAUUACGUGGUGGAAGAAAAAUGUGGAUGCCUACAGUUAACAAAUUGCAAAAUAUAUUUUAAAUGGUUCUAAAAAUUGCAUUCAAGUAUGAUUUACAUAGGAAACAUGUCCUGUGGGAACUACUGUAUGGCUAUAUGGUAACUUUUUUUUGGACUUGUUUUUGCUCAGCAUGAAAUUUUAUAUGCUAUAUUUUACUAAUUUAACCAUAUUUUUAAUACAAAAAAAUUAGGGUAGACCAUGUGAAAUGAAAGAGUGCUAUCAGGUAAUACUAAGUUUUCUUUUGAUAAGUGUGGUGUUCAAUAAAGUUUUCUAAAUAGGAAAAAAAAA